AUUGAACGCUGGCGGAAUGCUUUACACAUGCAAGUCGAGCGGCAGCGCGGCCUUCGGGCUGGCGGCGAGCGGCAAACGGGUGAGUAAUGCAUCGGAACAUGCCCAGUCGUGGGGGAUAACACUUCGAAAGAAGUGCUAAUACCGCAUACGUCCUGAGGGGGAAAGCGGGGGAUCGCAAGACCUCGCGCGAUUGGAGUGGCCGAUGUCAGAUUAGCUAGUUGGUGGGGUAAAGGCCUACCAAGGCGACGAUCUGUAGCUGGUCUGAGAGGAUGAUCAGCCACACUGGGACUGAGACACGGCCCAGACUCCUACGGGAGGCAGCAGUGGGGAAUUUUGGACAAUGGGGGCAACCCUGAUCCAGCCAUUCCGCGUGAGUGAAGAAGGCCUUCGGGUUGUAAAGCUCUUUCGGCAGGAACGAAACGGUGGGCUCUAACAUAGUCCGCUAAUGACGGUACCUGAAGAAGAAGCACCGGCUAACUACGUG
RNAcentral lists this ribosomal RNA (484 nucleotides) under uncultured bacterium. Its description in RNAcentral is "partial 16S ribosomal RNA". It matches the Rfam family "Bacterial small subunit ribosomal RNA", at positions 30 to 507 of the family's 1533-position model. The record is from RNAcentral.